RNAcentral lists this ribosomal RNA (253 nucleotides) under uncultured bacterium. Its description in RNAcentral is "partial 16S ribosomal RNA". It matches the Rfam family "Bacterial small subunit ribosomal RNA", at positions 524 to 776 of the family's 1533-position model. The record is from RNAcentral.
UACGUAGGGUCCGAGCGUUGUCCGGAAUUAUUGGGCGUAAAGGGCUCGUAGGCGGUUUGUCGCGUCGGGAGUGAAAACUCAGGGCUCAACCCUGAGCGUGCUUCCGAUACGGGCAAACUAGAGGUAUUCAGGGGAGAAUGGAAUUCCUGGUGUAGCGGUGGAAUGCGCAGAUAUCAGGAGGAACACCGGUGGCGAAGGCGGUUCUCUGGGAAUAUCCUGACGCUGAGGAGCGAAAGCAUGGGGAGCGAACAGG